AUUGAACGCUGGCGGCAUGCCUUACACAUGCAAGUCGAACGGCAGCACGGGUGCUUGCACCUAGUGGCGAGUGGCGAACGGGUGAGUAAUACAUCGGAACGUACCUUAUCGUGGGGGAUAACGCAGCGAAAGCUGUGCUAAUACCGCAUACGCCCUGAGGGGGAAAGCGGGGGAUCGAAAGACCUCGCGCGAUUAGAGCGGCCGAUGCCUGAUUAGCUUGUUGGUGGGGUAAAAGCCCACCAAGGCGACGAUCAGUAGCUGGUCUGAGAGGACGAUCAGCCACACUGGGACGAAGACACGGCCCAGACUCCUACGGGAGGCAGCAGUGGGGAAUUUUGGACAAUGGGGGCAACCCUGAUCCAGCAAUGCCGCGUGAGUGAAGAAGGCCUUCGGGUUGUAAAGCUCUUUUGUCAGGGAAGAAACACCGGCUCUAACACAGUCCGGGAAUGACGGUACCUGAAGAAUAAGCACCGGCUAACUACGUGCCAGCCGCCGCAGUAA
Molecule: ribosomal RNA, 501 nt
Filed under: uncultured bacterium
Lineage: Bacteria
Description: partial 16S ribosomal RNA
Rfam family: Bacterial small subunit ribosomal RNA
Source: RNAcentral